RNAcentral lists this ribosomal RNA (253 nucleotides) under uncultured bacterium. RNAcentral describes it as "partial 16S ribosomal RNA". It matches the Rfam family "Bacterial small subunit ribosomal RNA", at positions 524 to 776 of the family's 1533-position model. The record is from RNAcentral.
UACGUAGGGUGCAAGCGUUGUCCGGAAUUAUUGGGCGUAAAGAGCUCGUAGGCGGUCUGUCGCGUCGGCUGUGAAAACUCGGGGCUCAACCCCGAGCCUGCAGUCGAUACGGGCAGACUAGAGUGCUGUAGGGGAGACUGGAAUUCCUGGUGUAGCGGUGAAAUGCGCAGAUAUCAGGAGGAACACCGGUGGCGAAGGCGGAGCUCUGGGCCUUACCUGACGCUGAGGAGCGAAAGCAUGGGGAGCAAACAGG